UUAAUUGAAACCAAAAUAGAGGUAAAUUAUUGUUAAUAAUUAUAUUGAAAUUAUUUUCCAAUUAAU
RNAcentral lists this transfer RNA (66 nucleotides) under Pachyneuron aphidis. Its description in RNAcentral is "tRNA-Asn". Lineage: Eukaryota; Metazoa; Arthropoda; Insecta; Hymenoptera; Pteromalidae. The record is from RNAcentral.